RNAcentral lists this RNase P RNA (334 nucleotides) under Gammaproteobacteria bacterium. RNAcentral describes it as "RNase P RNA component class A". It matches the Rfam family "Bacterial RNase P class A". From Rfam's summary of the family: Ribonuclease P (RNase P) is a ubiquitous endoribonuclease, found in archaea, bacteria and eukarya as well as chloroplasts and mitochondria. The record is from RNAcentral. Lineage: Bacteria; Pseudomonadati; Pseudomonadota; Gammaproteobacteria.
GGAGUUGACUAGACAAUCGCCCAAUUCUUAUUGGGAGGAAAGUCCGGGCUCUAACGGGUACGAUGCCAGGUAAUACCUGGAAGGCGUGAGCCUAUGGAAAGUGCAUCAGAAAAUAAACCGCUUUAAUUUAGCAAGGGUGAAAAGGUGUGGUAAGAGCGCACCGCAUAAAUGGUAACAUUUAUGGCAUUGCAAACCCCAUCGAGAGCAAGACCAAAUAUAGGAGUAAUGAUUUCCCGUGAUCACUCCAGGGUAGGUUGCUAGAGGUACUUGGUGACAAGUAUCCUAGAUGAAUGAUUGUCCAAGACAGAACCCGGCUUAUCGGUUAACUCCAUAU